ACGCAUGAAGUAUUACAAAGAGUGAGAAUGGAUCAGUGAAAUGAAACUCGCAAAAGAGCUUCUUGAAUUCAGUGAAGAUCGUAAUCCCUGGGAGUCGGUGGAAGGGAAACUUAUAGAGAUAAGGGACGUUAUGAGAAAAAUGGUGAAACAGAUGAGGCCUGGAGGAGAAUAAACGGAUCUCUUGGUGUUCUAGCUUGACGACACAUCGAGAGAUAUAUUACUUCGGUUUUCUUGGGAAUUUUUAUUCACUUGUGGUUUGUAAGCCACCGACGAGAAAAGAUAGAGAAAUUGUUGUUGUGAAGUUGAGGCCAAAUUUCUCAUUAAGCAAUAAACAAAGCCGCUGUGGUAACGACCAGUUUAAAAAAAAA
Stylophora pistillata is the source of this 368-nucleotide long non-coding RNA. Lineage: Eukaryota; Metazoa; Cnidaria; Anthozoa; Scleractinia; Pocilloporidae. The record is from RefSeq and is a predicted model, not a curated record.